Molecule: long non-coding RNA, 215 nt
Filed under: Elaeis guineensis (African oil palm)
Lineage: Eukaryota; Viridiplantae; Streptophyta; Magnoliopsida; Arecales; Arecaceae
Description: long non-coding RNA (EGUI_LNC026715)
Source: RNAcentral
GGGCAAAUAUCAUUUUCUCUGCCUUCGAGUACCGAGUUUCGGCUUCAUGGAGCACUUUGCUGAUGUAAUAUAUUGGUUGGUGAACUCGAUUCUCGUUCUCUCGGAUGAGCACCGAGCUAACUGCCUCUGGAGAGGUAGCCAAGUAAAGGUACAAUAUUUCCCCAACCUCCGACCUCACAAGCAGGGGCGGAGAAGUCAAAUAUUUCUUCAGUUCC